GUUUUCGUGGUGUAGUUGGUUAUCACGUGCGCCUCACACGCGCAAGGUCUCCGGUUCGAACCCGGACGGAAACA
This 74-nucleotide transfer RNA is filed under the name Piptocephalis tieghemiana. Its description in RNAcentral is "tRNA-Val". It matches the Rfam family "tRNA". Rfam says of the family: Transfer RNA (tRNA) molecules are approximately 80 nucleotides in length. The record is from RNAcentral. Lineage: Eukaryota; Fungi; Zoopagomycota; Zoopagomycetes; Zoopagales; Piptocephalidaceae.